Molecule: long non-coding RNA, 524 nt
Organism: Peromyscus eremicus (cactus mouse)
Lineage: Eukaryota; Metazoa; Chordata; Mammalia; Rodentia; Cricetidae
Exons: 3
Source: RefSeq, a predicted model, not a curated record
CCGAGCGCGCGGGUUGACCCAGCUGCUCCAGCGCCACCCGGGGUAACCACGGCAACCGCGGUGGUCAGGAAUGCACGCUAAUUGAAGGGCCCGUUCCUCCCACGGGGAUGAGCAACAAGUGAGGCAAAAAAUAGUGAGCUGGGCUGCGUGUGAGGAGCGAGGGGAGGCGGGGCUCAGCUCCAGCCUUGGCCCUGGUGGAUGAGGGACCCGGGGACCGUGAAGAGCGCCUGCCAGGCCUCAUUUGUUUUCUUAAACGACGCAGGACAGUGAAAAGCUGUGACAGAUGGGGAAACUGAGUUCGUAUUCGCACACCAAGGGGCUGUCUGGCCCCCAAGCUUCUGCUGUUCACGUGGGACCAUGUCCCGUAUCCAAAGAGAAAUUUACUCACCACCACUGGCGCUUAAGAGUACAGAUGGAAGGGGUAAUAGAUGCUGUACUCUUGGGUAAGCCACAGGAGGAGAUGGAAGAAAUAAUAGGAACAUGACAAGAAAACAAAGGUAAUUCUGCAGCAUUGUAUUUACGGG